GCCUAACACAUGCAAGUCGAACGAGACCUUCGGGUCUAGUGGCGCACGGGUGCGUAACGCGUGGGAAUCUGCCCUUGGGUUCGGAAUAACUCGCCGAAAGGCGUGCUAAUACCGGAUGAUGUCGUAAGACCAAAGAUUUAUCGCCCAGGGAUGAGCCCGCGUAAGAUUAGGUAGUUGGUGAGGUAAAGGCUCACCAAGCCGACGAUCUUUAGCUGGUCUGAGAGGAUGAUCAGCCACACUGGGACUGAGACACGGCCCAGACUCCUACGGGAGGCAGCAGUGGGGAAUAUUGGACAAUGGGCGAAAGCCUGAUCCAGCAAUGCCGCGUGAGUGAUGAAGGCCUUAGGGUUGUAAAGCUCUUUUACCUGGGAUGAUAAUGACAGUACCGGGAGAAUAAGCUCCGGCUAACUCCGUGCCAGCAGCCGCGGUAAUACGGAGGGAGCUAGCGUUGUUCGGAAUUACUGGGCGUAAAGCGCACGUAGGCGGCUUUGUAAGUCAGAGGUGAAAGCCUGGAGCUCAACUCCAGAACUGCCUUUGAGACUGCAUCGCUUGAAUCCAGGAGAGGUGAGUGGAAUUCCGAGUGUAGAGGUGAAAUUCGUAGAUAUUCGGAAGAACACCAGUGGCGAAGGCGGCUCACUGGACUGGUAUUGACGCUGA
RNAcentral lists this ribosomal RNA (657 nucleotides) under uncultured Caulobacter sp. Its description in RNAcentral is "bacterial SSU rRNA". It matches the Rfam family "Bacterial small subunit ribosomal RNA", at positions 46 to 749 of the family's 1533-position model. Lineage: Bacteria; Pseudomonadati; Pseudomonadota; Alphaproteobacteria; Caulobacterales; Caulobacteraceae. The record is from RNAcentral.